GCAGUCGAGCGGUAACAGGGGAGCUUGCUUCUCGCUGACGAGCGGCGGACGGGUGAGUAAUGUAUGGGGAUCUGCCCGAUAGAGGGGGGUAACUACUGGAAACGGUAGCUAAUACCGCAUAAUCCCUCAGGAGCAAAGGAGGGGAACUUCUGUCCUCUGCGCUAUCGGAUGAGCCCGUAUGGGAUUAGCUAGGUGGUGAGGUAAUGGCUCACCAAGGCGACAAUCCCUAUCUGGUGUGAGAGGAUGAUCACCCACACUGGGACUGAGACACGGCCCAAACUCCUACGGGAGGCAGCAUUGUGGAAUAUUGCACAAUGGGCGCAAGCCUGAUGCAGCCAUGCCGCGUGUAUGAAUAAGGCCCUAAGGUUGUAAAGCACUUUCAGGUGAGAGAAAGGCGUUGAUGCUUAUAUCAUCAACGAUUGACGUUACCAACAGAAGAAGCACCGGCUAACUCCGUGCCAGCAGCCGCGGUAAUACAGAGGGUGCGCGCGUUUAUCGGAAUUACUGGGCGUAAAGCGCACGCAGGCGGUUGAUGAAGUUAGAUGUGAAAUCCCCGGGCU
This 560-nucleotide ribosomal RNA is filed under the name uncultured bacterium. RNAcentral's name for it is "bacterial SSU rRNA". It matches the Rfam family "Bacterial small subunit ribosomal RNA", at positions 57 to 609 of the family's 1533-position model. The record is from RNAcentral.